RNAcentral lists this ribosomal RNA (377 nucleotides) under uncultured eukaryote. RNAcentral's name for it is "partial 18S ribosomal RNA". It matches the Rfam family "Eukaryotic small subunit ribosomal RNA", at positions 592 to 976 of the family's 1831-position model. The record is from RNAcentral.
CAAUAGCGUAUAUUAAAGUUGUUGCAGUUAAAAAGCUCGUAGUUGGAUUUCGGGGCAGCCUGGCUGGUCCGCCGCAAGGCGAGUACUGGUCAGCCGCCCUUCCUCUCGAAAGCCCCGACUGCUCUUUAUUGCAGUGGUCGGGUAGUUCGGGACGUUUACUUUGAAAAAAUUAGAGUGUUCAAGGCAGGCCUACGCCUGAAUACAUUAGCAUGGAAUAAUGGAAGAGGACCUCGGUCCUAUUUUGCUGGUUUCCAGGACCGAAGUAAUGAUUAAGAGGGACAGUUGGGGGCAUUCGUAUUUAAUUGUCAGAGGUGAAAUUCUCGGAUUUAUGAAAGACGAACAACUGCGAAAGCAUUUGCCAAGGAUGUUUUCAUUAA